GGGCGAUUAGCGCAGUGGGAGCGCGCCUCGUUCACACCGAGGAGGUCACUGGUUCAAAUCCAGUAUCGCCCACCA
This 75-nucleotide transfer RNA is filed under the name Pseudomonadota bacterium. Its description in RNAcentral is "tRNA-Val". It matches the Rfam family "tRNA". From Rfam's summary of the family: Transfer RNA (tRNA) molecules are approximately 80 nucleotides in length. Their secondary structure includes four short double-helical elements and three loops (D, anti-codon, and T loops). RNAcentral also lists the same sequence under 2 other names. The record is from RNAcentral. Lineage: Bacteria; Pseudomonadati; Pseudomonadota.